RNAcentral lists this ribosomal RNA (253 nucleotides) under uncultured bacterium. RNAcentral's name for it is "partial 16S ribosomal RNA". It matches the Rfam family "Bacterial small subunit ribosomal RNA", at positions 524 to 776 of the family's 1533-position model. The record is from RNAcentral.
GACAGGGGGUGCAAACGUUGUUCGGAAUUACUGGGCGUAAAGCGUGUGUAGGCGGCUACGUAAGUCGGAUGUGAAAGCCCCAGGCUCAACCUGGGAAGUGCACUCGAUACUGCGUAGCUUGAGUAUCGGAGAGGUUGGUGGAAUUCUCGGUGUAGAGGUGAAAUUCGUAGAUAUCGAGAGGAACACCGGUGGCGAAGGCGGCCAACUGGACGAAUACUGACGCUGAGACACGAAAGCGUGGGGAGCAAACAGG